AGCGAACAUUGGCGGUAGGCUUAACACAUGCAAGUCGAGCGAGGCGUAAUAGUCGAGCGGCGAACGGGUGAGUAAUACAUGGGAAUCUACCUUGGAGUGGGGGAUAACAGCCAGAAAUGGCUGCUAAUACCGCAUAAUCCCGAGAGGGGAAAGCGCGCUGCGCUCCAAGAUGAGCCCAUGGCUGAUUAGCCAGUUGGUGGGGUAAAGGCCUACCAAGGCGACGAUCAGUAGCUGGUCUGAGAGGAUGAGCAGCCACACUGGAACUGAGACACGUGCAAGCCUCCUAGGGGAGGCAGCAGUGGGGAGUCUUGCGCAAUGGGGGCAACCCUGACGCAGCCAUACCGCGUGUGCGAUGAAGGUCUUCGGAUUGUAAAGCACUUUCAGUAGGGACGACGAUGACGGUACCUACAGAAGAAGUCACGGCUAACUUCGUGCCAGCCGCCGCAGUAA
This 450-nucleotide ribosomal RNA is filed under the name uncultured bacterium. RNAcentral describes it as "partial 16S ribosomal RNA". It matches the Rfam family "Bacterial small subunit ribosomal RNA", at positions 29 to 523 of the family's 1533-position model. The record is from RNAcentral.